Molecule: long non-coding RNA, 1279 nt
Organism: Oncorhynchus tshawytscha (Chinook salmon)
Lineage: Eukaryota; Metazoa; Chordata; Actinopteri; Salmoniformes; Salmonidae
Source: Ensembl
UGAUGUCACUUCCUUAGCGGGAAAACAACUGUGGUGAACUUGAUGCCUGCCUUAGAUGCCAUUAAAGGAACAAUGAAGAUUCAUCAGGUUGUCAGUGUCUCACCAGGCCAGAUAAAAUACAGGGACAUUACUUGUCUGUGCAAGGAUAGUGGCAUGUUGGACUGUCAUUGUUUUCAGCUCAAAGAGGCAACUCUGGGUGACCAUGCAGCAUCUAACCAGCUCCCUGCAUCUCAUGACAAGGCUGACACCACAUGGCGACCUGGCACCAUUGAACUUAAUCACGUAGGGGAGUGGUGUGUUGUCAAUUAUGACCAUGAACGAUACCCUGGCAUCAUCAUGGACAUAAAGGAACAUAACAUCUGGUCAAGUCCAAAGGAAGAUAUUUGUUGGUACUCUGAUGGACAGAUACUUUGUCUGAUGCCAGAGCCACAGGCAGUUAAUAAACGCUCUGUGCAGAUGGAAAAAUAAAGUAUGUGGAAGAGCAUUUGGGGUGAAAGGGGGGAGAGAUGGAAAGAGGGGGAGCGAGAGAGAGAGAGAGGAAGAGAGGGACAGGAAUGUGUUUUAAUGCUAAUUCCAAUGAUUUUGUACCGGCAAUGUAUUUUUGUGUUGUUGUUUUUCACAAUGAAACUAAAUAGCAGUUCCAAUGUUGUUACUACAUCUAUUUCUAUGUAGAUGUCUAUUCAGUGUUCAGUAUUCAGUGUUCAGGGUUUAAUUUAUGUUCUGUCCCGUUAUAGCUGUCCACCGUGUUAUUUGGAAUCUUUUUCAAAUGAAUUCAAUUACAUUGUCAAACAUCAGAAAUAUGUGUGUAAUGUAUUUUAAAGAGUAAGACACGACCAACACCACAUAAUUAUAAACUUGGAUAAAAUAUCAUUAAUACCUGUCUCAAUUUAGAAAGAUAAGGUGCAAAUUAGAUGAAGUUCAGUAUAAAACCAAACAUUGUAAACAAAAUCUGCUAUUUCUUUAUAUUUUGACCAGAACAAAUGGACAGGGUUGACAAGGGGACACAAUAGCUUUAUGAAAAUGUAAAUAUUAUUAAAAUAGUUGAAUGAAAGUAAUUAAAGACAGUUAAGUGCAUGUCCGUAACAGGGUGGACAUAGCAUAUGGCUGAUUCACUGAAAAUGUGUUUAUAAUUAUCUAACUCCUGGAGCUUGGCCAACAUGUUUUUCUACCAGUCUAAAACUUCCUUUUUAUAGUAAAACAUUAAAGGAAUACAACAAUUGUAGUUGCAUGGUCCAAAUGGUACUGUUUUGUGAUAUUGACCCAAAUAUCUUAAAACCUG